UACACUCCUGCGGGAGGCAGCAGUGGGGAAUUUUGGACAAUGGGCGAAAGCCUGAUCCAGCCAUGCCGCGUGCAGGAUGAAGGCCUUCGGGUUGUAAACUGCUUUUGUACGGAACGAAACGGCCUUUUCUAAUAAAGAGGGCUAAUGACGGUACCGUAAGAAUAAGCACCGGCUAACUACGUGCCAGCAGCCGCGGUAAUACGUAGGGUGCAAGCGUUAAUCGGAAUUACUGGGCGUAAAGCGUGCGCAGGCGGUUAUGUAAGACAGUUGUGAAAUCCCCGGGCUCAACCUGGGAACUGCAUCUGUGACUGCAUAGCUAGAGUACGGUAGAGGGGGAUGGAAUUCCGCGUGUAGCAGUGAAAUGCGUAGAUAUGCGGAGGAACACCGAUGGCGAAGGCAAUCCCCUGGACCUGUACUGACGCUCAUGCACGAAAGCGUGGGGAGCAAACAGGAUUAGAUACCCCGGUAGUCCCAUG
Molecule: ribosomal RNA, 476 nt
Filed under: uncultured organism
Description: partial 16S ribosomal RNA
Rfam family: Bacterial small subunit ribosomal RNA
Source: RNAcentral